Molecule: long non-coding RNA, 454 nt
Filed under: Brassica napus (rape)
Lineage: Eukaryota; Viridiplantae; Streptophyta; Magnoliopsida; Brassicales; Brassicaceae
Description: long non-coding RNA (BNAP_LNC018618)
Source: RNAcentral
GAUGAAGAUGUGUUUUUGCUUGAUACAGUGAUAUAUCAUUCUCUGUCAAUAAUAAUAAUAUAUUUUUGUUGCUGUUUGUUUGUGUCUCAGACUGUUUUGGUCAGGUUGAUAAAGGAGCUAAUAUUCUUGAAAUUUAUCGCAAUCAUUGUGAUACUGAUCACACUUGCUCGCAUGACUGCUGCUACUUGCUCUUUUUGGUUUUUUGCUGGAUAAAUUGAAAGACUUGCGUUUAGCAUCUGAUCACUCUUCUUUGUGUGUGUUUCUGCAAGUAAAAAUGGUUAAGGGCUUUGUAUGUACUUUUCAUUCUGAUGGGGGUUAUUUGGGAUUUAAAGUUUUUGACAUUCUCAGAGUUUCCAUAAAUUUGCUGCAGGUAACAUUUUCCCUUUAUGAGUCUGUGCAAUAAGCUUGACGACAGAGGUGGAAAGGCGGCGAGGUGGAUGGGACGAGGUUGCUG